GAUGAACGCUGGCGGCGUGCCUAAUACAUGCAAGUCGAGCGAACAGAUAAGGAGCUUGCUCCUUUGACGUUAGCGGCGGACGGGUGAGUAACACGUGGGUAACCUACCUAUAAGACUGGGAUAACUUCGGGAAACCGGAGCUAAUACCGGAUAACAUUUGGAACCGCAUGGUUCUAAAUUGAAAGAGGGUUUUGCUAUCACUUAGAGAUGGACCCGCGCCGUAUUAGCUAGUUGGUAAGGUAAAGGCUUACCAAGGCGACGAUACGUAGCCGACCGGAGAGGGUGAUCGGCCACACUGGAACUGAGACACGGUCCAGACUCCUACGGGAGGCAGCAGUAGGGAAUCUUCCGCAAUGGGCGAAAGCCUGACGGAGCAACGCCGCGUGAGUGAUGAAGGGUUUCGGCUCGUAAAACUCUGUUAUUAGGGAAGAACAAAUGUGUAAGUAACUGUGCACGUCUUGACGGUACCUAAUCAGAAAGCCACGGCUAACUACGUGCCAGCCGCCGCCGUAA
RNAcentral lists this ribosomal RNA (513 nucleotides) under uncultured bacterium. Its description in RNAcentral is "partial 16S ribosomal RNA". It matches the Rfam family "Bacterial small subunit ribosomal RNA", at positions 28 to 523 of the family's 1533-position model. The record is from RNAcentral.